Molecule: transfer RNA, 54 nt
Filed under: Wellcomia compar
Lineage: Eukaryota; Metazoa; Nematoda; Chromadorea; Rhabditida; Oxyuridae
Description: tRNA-Cys
Source: RNAcentral
AAACUUAUUAUAUUUUUUUGUAUAUUAAAUUGCAAAUUUAAAGGAUGAAGUUUA